Erythranthe guttata (spotted monkey flower) is the source of this 2758-nucleotide non-coding RNA. The record is from RefSeq and is a predicted model, not a curated record. NCBI's taxonomy places the organism in Eukaryota, Viridiplantae, Streptophyta, Magnoliopsida, Lamiales, Phrymaceae.
UUGUUUUUUGAAAUGAUUUGAGCAUCAGUUUUGUUGUUGUACGUUUACAUGUACUUACAGAUGGUAUAAGACGAUAUAUAUACCACAUUCUAGGUGCGCUUGUCUAUUAAACUGAAGAGUUGAUUUGGCAUUUUUGAACUAGUAUAAUUAGACUCAUGGAGUUGUAAUAAUCUGUGAAAAUAUUUUUGGUGUUUUUCUGUCUGGUUUGAGAAUCACACGGGCCAGGAAAAAGUAAAGGUAGGCUAAAACUACAUUACUUUUCUUCUCUUUGAUUCAAAUAUCUCUUAUAACCACUGCAUUUUUUCUUUUCUUGUCUGGCUUUCAGGUAUAUCAUUCGAGCUCGGUCUGAAAAUGCUAAAUUUACUACUUGUUGCUUUUAGUAGGCUCCGAGGUAUGAAAGACCACCACAGGACUCUGUUGUGUACAUAACACAUUGUUUUUUGCUGGCCCCGAGGUAUGAAAGAUAAGCAUUUAGGUGAUUCUUGUUGGCCCCAACAUUGUUUUAAAUAUGAUUUCUUCUGUUCAAUGGCUUAUCAUGCAUUACAUUGAGCACAUCCUUUAUAAAUUUGAUAACUAACUCAGGUAUCUAAUUUUUUUUUUCGGGAUCUUUUUUGACUGCUAUGAUUACAAGUUUGAUGUCUCAAAGGAAAUUGCUGCAGAAAAGAAAAAGAGUUAUCCAAAGAAGAUCUACCUGGAUUCCGUUAGGUAUGGUCUUUUUUGUUUUGGUUCUUCCUUUUUCCAUGGGUCUUUCUAGGACAUCACCUUUUUUUUUGUUAACCUUUUGAUAGGAUGUAUCUACCGACGUUCAUUAAAACUCGCUAGUUAUGCUGUGCAGGUUAACAACUUCAGUGUUUUGAGCUCUCUCUCUCUCUCUCUCUCUCAGGAUUUUAAAUGCAAUGAAACUAUUUCUUCAUGACUCUCAGGUUGUUGGAAAGUAUGAGCGUUAUGGAGAAUGAGAUAUGCUGUCGUGCCAGUGAAAUCUAAGUAAUACUCUUUAUAUUUUGUACUUUUUACUCCUGAAGUAUUUUCUGAAAUAUGAGGUUCUCACAGUGAUAUUUUGGCAUAUUGUAGUUUUGCAAUGAGUGUUAUGUUCCAGAGGACAAAUUGGAGACUUACAAGAUAUUAUGGAGAUGGUUGUUAUAUAGGAAUAUGGAGUGGAUUUCUUAUUCCAGCAUCAAGUGUUUCGAGCUAUGAAUCUUCUGUCACAAUAUAAGUAUUACGGUUCUGACCCUUCUUAAGUUUUCCUUUUCCAAUUUUACUUUCACUUUUUCAACUUCUGACAACACUUUCUUAUUUAUGAUUUUGAUAGGUAGCAGAAGUUCUCUAUUUGUGAUGAUCGCAUCAUGCACUUGCUUCCAACUAUUUGCAAAUUUUUAAAUUUAUAUGGUUAUGUAGUUGCACAUACAAAUGCUGAAUUUAAAAUGCUUUUGCAGGUUGGAUUAAUUUCUUAGGCUUUAUAGAAUUUUCAGUUGCAGACUAAUGGGAUCGGAGCACCAUUACAUGAUAAUUUCUUCGUCAGAAUUAUCAUCAGAACAUCGACCACCUUUAACAGCAACCAAGGUUACUUACGUCUCAAGGAAAAUGUCUGUUUUUUCUGUCUCGUUUAUUCCUUCUCAAUAUCAUAUGAUAAUUUUUUUUCAUGACUUUUGUGCAGAAAAAUGGCCACCAUGUAAGUGAAGUGACUACGAUCAACGUACUACAUCGUUUUUUAUAUUACUUCUUUUUGGUCGUGUAAUUACAGGUUCAUUUUUACAUUUAGUUUUAUUUUUUGCAGGAUAUAUAUCAUUACACACUACGACAAAAGUUUACGAGACCCCUGACAGCAGACCUAGGAGACCUCUAACCGAUCGUCACCAUGUCCGUUGUUUUCUAGCAAACGAGAUUUUGAUCGUCUUCUUCAUGUGAAUUGUUCAGCCAUUGAGGUAUUUAGGUCACCUUCUUCGACAAGCCUAGCCAGCUGCAGCAGCCAUUGAUAAGGUGCGACAAGUCGAAGCGACAUAUCCAGCUCUGCUUUUCAAGCAGCAGCUUAAUGCUUAUGUUGAGAAAUUAUAUGUAACUAUUCGAGAUAACUUGAAGGAUUUGGGAGCACUUCUUGCUUUACGUAUUCAGGUAUGUUGAUUGAUAAAAUAUUUAUGUUUUAUUAAAUAUUAUGUGAGCAAUGCCUUCACGAUUUAUUAUACUUUAAUGAUUUCAGACUCCAAGAACCUCCAAAGGGAGUGUGUUGAGGUCUGGUCGAUCUUUCGGCAAACAUUCUCAAACAAAUCAUUGAUUGCCUCAAAUCAUUUGUUUAUCAGGUGACGUUAGCUGGAUUUUUUUCUUCUGAUAAGCUCUCUUUCUGUGUGUGUGCCCAUGUGCGUGAAUGUGUGUGUCUAUAUAUUCUAGUGAAGCUGUUCAGGUGACAUUAGCUGGAUUCUUUCUGAUAAGCUCUCUUUCUGUGUGUGUGCCCAUCUCUUUCUAUGUGUGUGCCCAUGUGCGUGAUUGUGUGUUUCUAUAUAUUCUGAUGGAGCUGCUGUGAUGAUUGUUGAUAAUUUGUGGAGCUGAUAAUUUGGGCAUUUAGAAACCCUCCCGUAUCUUGAUGUGGCGAACCCGGAUGGCUGCGAUUUUGGGGUAAUUUAUAUUUCCCCAAUCGCAUGCAACCGGUGAUUCUGCAGCCAUGACGGGGUGGAAUGUUUCUUUGCCAACUUGAAUUAAUUAUUGACUUUCUUGUGAAAAACUCUUCCUAUCUUUCUUGUUUGUAUGAUCACUCUCUUCUCUUUGG